This 590-nucleotide long non-coding RNA is filed under the name Equus caballus (horse). RNAcentral describes it as "lncRNA (ENSECAG00000057243.1)". The record is from RNAcentral. Lineage: Eukaryota; Metazoa; Chordata; Mammalia; Perissodactyla; Equidae.
CAGGCCCAGCCCUGUGCCGGCGCCCCAGGGAGGGGCUCCAGAGUGAGUAAGACAUGGGCCCCACCCUCCAGAUGCCACUGUCAGAGGUGGUCUGGAACGCAGGCGCAAACACCGCACCCGCACAGCAGUGGGGGAUGCAGAACACUGGGGGCUGGGAUGUGCAGAGGGGCCUGGGAUGGACUCAGCAGCAUCCAGAUGAGGCUUGAAGGAUGGUUUUCAUAGUCACUGAAUUUUCCAGGAGUGCAACGACCGUGUCAAUUGAGGAGGGCUGUUCUUGGUUUCAUUUGGACGUUAACCAAGAGCUGGUCACCAUUUCGGAAAAUCGCGUCACCAUUGGCCUCACCCACGGGCACACCUGUGAGCAUCUGCACUUGCAGCUGUUGCCUUCCUGGGGACCCUGGAAGGGGGCAAGCGUCUGAAUCCUUCUUUAUGUGGCCGAGGGAGUCCAGCGUCCCUGUAUAUGAUUUUAUGGCAAAUUACCUUCCUUUUAAUCCUCUUUUAUAUUAUAAUGAAGACAUUAUAUUGUUUUAAACAUCAUAUGUACACGUGAAUUAUAUACCUGUAAAUUCAACUUCAGGAUAGAAAGGCAC